RNAcentral lists this ribosomal RNA (274 nucleotides) under uncultured bacterium. RNAcentral describes it as "partial 16S ribosomal RNA". It matches the Rfam family "Bacterial small subunit ribosomal RNA", at positions 523 to 796 of the family's 1533-position model. The record is from RNAcentral.
AUACGGAGGGCGCGAACGUUGCUCGGAAUCAUUGGGCGUAAAGCGCACGUAGGCGGCCUGAUAAGUCGGAUGUGAAAGCCCUCGGCUCAACCGAGGAAGUGCAUUCGAAACCGUCAGGCGUGAGUAUGGGAGAGGGUUGCGGAAUUCCCGGUGUAGAGGUGAAAUUCGUAGAUAUCGGGAGGAACACCAGUGGCGAAGGCGGCAGCCUGGACCAAUACUGACGCUGAGGUGCGAAAGCGUGGGGAGCAAACAGGAUUAGAAACCCUAGUAGUCC